RNAcentral lists this long non-coding RNA (1148 nucleotides) under Bos indicus x Bos taurus (hybrid cattle). Its description in RNAcentral is "lncRNA (ENSBIXG00000009698.1)". The record is from RNAcentral. Lineage: Eukaryota; Metazoa; Chordata; Mammalia; Artiodactyla; Bovidae.
GUAAAUUCCGGGAGUUGGUGAUGGACAGAGAAGCCUGGUGUGCUGCAGUCCAUGGGUUUGCAGAGUCAGACACAACUGAGUGACUGAACUGAACUGAAUGGACAGACACAGUGGGAGUGAAGAGGACAGGAUGGUGGCCCCCCAUUCCCACUCACCAUGAAUGGUGUCUGGAGCAGUAGAUGAAGAGGAGUCAUGGGACCCCAGCAUCACUGCUGAGGCACACAGGUGCAAAAGCCCAUCUCACUGCUGACAUCGAUAGAGUCCGUGUGAGCCCCCAGGGUUUCAGUUCAUUGAGCUCAUGCAGUUGGCCCUCUGAACCCAAGAAAAGAGUAGGUGUCCUCCCCAUCUUGUGUGUGAUGCUCUGAGUCAUGGUCCAGAGAUGGCGUGGGCAAGCAGAGAGAAGCUGCCCUCAGAACUUGGGUACAAUGACUCGACCUGGAGCAGCUAGUGAAAGCUUGGCCAGCACCCCAGGAGGAGGGCUGGGCAUCAAGUCCAGAGCAGCAAACCAGCCAAAAGUUCAUUCCUCACGGAGAGUCUGAAGACCUGCAUAUCAGAACCAGAGCCCUGGAAACUGGAAGGGCCAAGGUAAGAAGAUAAGCAAAGAUGGGAAAACUAAGUCAUGGCAUGAUAAACCACUGGUUUGCCUUGCUGUUGUAUCCAGAGCAAUAAUUUAUUGAUUAAAUGCUGAAGAUGUUCCCAUGGGUCCUCCCUUCCUUGUGCAUCCCUGGAAUGAACCCCUAUCCCAAAAGGUGACCUGAAUGUCCCCCUAAAAGGGGACACACACACACUGCUAAGCUGUGCUUCCUUGUUUCAGCCUGUGAAUCCUCACCCUGUAUUGCCCAAAUGUGUCUUUUCCAAAGCAACUUGGCCAUGGAGUCAUUUUGUAUUUCAGGAGGGAGGUCUCCUGGGGCCCCUAAAGUCUAGCACAUAAUUUGACAAAAUAGGAAACAGAAGCUCAGAGAGGGGUAGGAUCUGGCUAAGGGCACACAAUGAGUCAGCAGCACAGUCUGGGUGACUCUGAGCCUGCUUCACUACUCUACACUGCCCUCUGGGGGUAAGCGUUCCCUCAAGUCUACAACCACCCCAAUGACAACCCGCAGAAGACAGGGCAGACAAACCCCAGGUCCAUGUGGUAAAGUACAAAGCAA